UACAGGGGGGGCAAGCGUUGUUCGGAAUUACUGGGCGUAAAGGGCGCGUAGGCGGUCCGAUAAGUCCUGUGUGAAAUCCCUCGGCUCAACUGAGGAACUGCACGGGAGACUGUCGGGCUUGAGUUCGGGAGAGGGAAGCGGAAUUCCGGGUGUAGCGGUGAAAUGCGUAGAUAUCAGGAAGAACACCGGUGGCGAAGGCGGGUCUCUGGGCAGUAACUGACGCUGAGGAGCGAAAGCGUGGGGAGCGAACAGG
This 253-nucleotide ribosomal RNA is filed under the name uncultured bacterium. RNAcentral's name for it is "partial 16S ribosomal RNA". It matches the Rfam family "Bacterial small subunit ribosomal RNA", at positions 524 to 776 of the family's 1533-position model. The record is from RNAcentral.